Molecule: ribosomal RNA, 471 nt
Filed under: uncultured bacterium
Lineage: Bacteria
Description: bacterial SSU rRNA
Rfam family: Bacterial small subunit ribosomal RNA
Source: RNAcentral
AUGAACGCUGGCGGCGUGUCUAAGGCAUGCAAGUCGAGCGGUUUGAUAUUUCUCGCAAGAGAGGUGUCAGAUAGCGGCAAACGGGUGCGUAACACAUUGGUAAUCUACCUUCCAGUCGGGCAUAACCCCGCGAAAGCGGGGCUAAUUCCACGAUGGUGAUGAGGGGACGCAAGUCGUCUCAUCUAAAGCGCAAAACGCGCUGGGAGAGGAACCUAUGGCCUAUCAGCUUGUUGGUGAGGUAACGGCUCACCAAGGCUAUGACGGGUAGGGGAUGUGAGAGCAUGAUCCCCCUCACUGGAACUGAGACACUGUCCAGACACCUACGGGUGGCUGCAGUUAAGAAUAUUCCCCAAUGGGCGAAAGCCUGAGGGAGCGACGCCGCGUGCAGGAUGAAGGGCUUCGGCUCGUAAACUGCUUUUUUCAGGGAAGAAAUUUGACGGUACCUGAAGAAUAAGAGGUUGCUAACUCUGU